This 313-nucleotide unclassified non-coding RNA is filed under the name uncultured fungus. RNAcentral describes it as "partial contains 5.8S ribosomal RNA, internal transcribed spacer 2, and large subunit ribosomal RNA". The record is from RNAcentral. Lineage: Eukaryota; Fungi.
AACGCACCUUGCGCUCCUUGGUAUUCCGAGGAGCAUGUCUGUUCGAGUGUUAUGAAAAUUUCAACCCACCCUUUCUCAGUAAAGGGACUGGUGUUUGGUUCGUGGGCGUUCGUGCCGGCUGUUUUCAGCAAGGCUCGCCUGAAAUUUAUGAGCAGUGUCGUCUUUAGAAACUUGGCUUGACUUGGCGUAAUAAAUAUUCCGCUGAGGACAACCUCGACAGAGGUUGGCCAGUUCUUUAGAGGAGGGCUUCCAAUGAAACAAUCUAUUCAAACUCUUUGACCUCGAAUCAGAUAGGACUACCCGCUGAACUUAA